This 811-nucleotide long non-coding RNA is filed under the name Gorilla gorilla gorilla (western lowland gorilla). RNAcentral describes it as "lncRNA (ENSGGOG00000044620.1)". The record is from RNAcentral. Lineage: Eukaryota; Metazoa; Chordata; Mammalia; Primates; Hominidae.
CUGACCUGACUGCACUCAGAAACCAAAAUUCUGCAGGUGAAUGUAGGCUCCCAUUUCGUUCCACAAUCAUUUCAUCAUUCAGGCACAGCUUGACCUCUAAUGUGACAUCACAAACGCUUCUGGUCCACAGUUUUUUUUCCUCUUCAGAAACUACCCUAAACAAGGAAGUUUGUGUUCCAAGGUAAGAGAACCUGAAGUGAAAAACUCAGGAUCCUUCACGAACAGCCUGACCCUGCUUUCAACCAGGAAGUUCAAGGGAGGCAGGACUUUACGGUCAAAACUGCAAAGCCGAAGCUCAAGACUGUAAGAAGAAAGUGGUCUUCAAAGAAAAGGAUUCACCCAAAUCGAAGAGGAUAUCGUUUCGCAACAGGGACACUCGUCUCCACACCUCCUACCUCAAAGUCCUGCGCACCUACCCUUCAUGUCUCUCCAAAGCAACUGAAUUAAAGCGCCUACUGGCCUUGGCGGCGCAGGAUAAUACACAGACUUCUCAUGAAAAUCAACCAACAUAUAGAAGAAUAUAUAGAAUAAAGCAAAAAUCAUCAGAAACUCCACAGUCUUGGAUGACCAUAGUUGAUAUUCUGAAUGGCUUCUGUUCCGAUUGAACCUUGACUGAUGUAGCACCUAUCACCAAAUUGCUGUUCAGGAAAUAUGUCCUAAAGAAACUCCCAACAACAGCAAUACAUCAGAGUGGCACCUCUUUACACUGGUUCUUGGUAGGUACUGUCAAUAUUUUUCAACUUUGGCAAAGUAAUACUCAAAACAAAAAAAAAUUAGUAGUGGUUUAUAUUUGCAUUUCUUGAGUUCAAAA